AGCAUAAAUUAAUAACAUUGCCACAUUCAAAAUAAUACUCAUGCAAUUGUUUAGGAUCUAUGAUGAUUCCAGAAAAAAAAUAACAUUCCUGUGUGUCUUUUGUAGCCUAUAAUGACUCUUGCUUCCUAAGUCUUUCUUUCUUGUUUCCACUUCUGAACCAAAACCAUUUCUGAACUUAUGAAAAGAUUACCCAUCUCUCCAUGGAAAUCAUCUUUAUUCCCAGUACAACUCUACCAGGUGUUUUAGCAAUGUGGUACAUUUAGUGAUGGGUUUGCUGAGUUUUUUGGUAAACACUGUGAGGACUUGUUCUUUAUGUCUUGCUUUUUCAAGUAUGUGUAGUGUUCCCAGGAGUAAAACCCUAUCUCCACUGGCUUUCACAUUCAUCUGCUUUUCCCCAGCUUGCCAAAACAGUUCAGUCUGGACCAAAGAAUUUCUUUCUUACUUCCAUGGACUGUUUUCACUUAAAGGACAGCUGUGACUGUUUUGAUCAAACAUAGACAGUAUAAAAAUCUGGGAAACAACCCACCAGUAUACCUCACAAUUGAACCAUGAUGUCUUUUUCAAGCAUGUACUUUUCUUACUUUCAAUAAUAUUUUACUUGUCCUGAAGGGACAGGCUGACUCAUCCCCUCCACUAGCUGUCCCCAGAAGGAGAACCAUCUGAGAAGUCCAGUACAACAAGGAUUAUACCUAGCUCUCAGCAGCUAAAGUUAGUGAGAUUGUAGCUCCUCAAAGUACUGGAUAGGAUAAAUGUGUUAGGGCAGUACGACAAAGUCAGAAUCAGGGAACAAAAUUAGAGGUCAAACUUGACUGUACUGAUUGCAUCCACCAGAAUCACACCUGGAGGCUGAAGAUAAAUGCACCUGGAUCUUCAGUGAGAGAGCUCAGAGUCUUUUUGGGCCUGGAACUGUAGCUAAGAAGUUGAGCCAAACUUGGCAAAUGCCACAUCACACAAAUCAAAUUUAUUGAAUCAGUACAGAGCUGUUACGGGAAAAAGAAUAGGGAAGUCCUUGACUGCAUGCCAUCAGCUGGGAAAAACAGAUCUAAUCCAGAGAUGUUUAAUGAUAUGUAUCUGGUUUUGUCACAGCCAUGUAUCUUUGACUGCUUUGCAUUUGAGUUGCUUUCAUCACUAGUAGGCAUUCAUCUGGUAUUUCUGUCUUUCUUCUACACAAACAAUAAACUCAACAUUUGAAUGGCUGUUAAACUUCCCUGAAAUUUUGGUUUAAAAAAAGCAAUUGGAAUUCCACAAAACUGAAUUAGAACUCCAGUGAGACAAAAAGUGGGAAUUCCUUUAUGUACAAAGUUGCUAAAAGUAUACUUUCUAGUUCUGCUACUACCUUUAGCUUGGUAUUAGGGGAAUGGUUGGACCAAAUGAUCUUGGAGGUCUUUUCCAGCCUUAAUGAUUCCAUGAUAUAUUCUGUAGUAGUGUUACUUUAAUUAAUGUAAUCAGGUGUAUGUUUAACGAUAAAAUUUAGAUAGAGGAAGACAUUCAGUGCAAAGUGAUCGUGGCCACAAUGGUUUGGUUUGCAUCCUAAUAAAUGUCCUGAAGAACCUGAACCUGAAACAGUACCAGCUCAUGAGGAGAAGGGACUGCUGGUCCUCCCAAAGCAGAAUUGUGCUAGAACUAGAAUGUGGCCAUCGUGAGCAUGGUCCAGGUGUUCCUAUACUCCAUGCCCAAUAGCAACCAGUUUGUAGCUUUUCAGACAAAAAGGUACCUUAUACAGCUAUUUUGGAACUGCACGUCAACACAUAAGGAAUGUUUGCAAGACACCCUUCUCCCUGUAAUAAUUACCACUGCAUUGCUAAGCAGUAUCAAUCAUUUCUAAAAUAUAAACAUAGCUGUGCACAGAUCUAUGGAUGUUAGGACAGCAUCAACACUCCUCUGUAGAAGCCUAAAAGACAAAUGACACUUUUUGUGCCCAAAACUGUGCAGGGCUCCAGUUAGUGAGAAAGAAAGAAAAGGGGAAGAGGAAAAAAAAAACAACAAAACCAAACAAACAAAAACACAAGAGAACUGAUAGGAAGGUCUGAAAAGCUUUUAUAGUUUUACUACACUUGAGAGGAUCUCUGUCAGGGCCCUGAGGGCACCAGUAAAUAGGUCUUAAUGUCCCUGACCAGCCUCACCUGGGGUCUGCACCCACACAGGCUCUAUUUAAGCUCAGGCCUGAAAGUAUUUCCUUGACAGAACUCUGUUGGAGAAAUGCUGGACUACUGUUACCCUUGAUCUGAACCUUAACAACACACAGGUUGAUUCCUUGGUUUGACCUGAGACCUGCCUGCUGAUCACUGAUCCUAAUCCUGGCCUAGUGGUGUCCAUGGUUGGGCUCCCAGCAGCUAUUUCUCCAGAGGAGAGCACUCUGAUACUUACAGCAGAUGUACUUGAAACAUUUUUGGAAGGAAGUGCCAAUGACUGUCAGAAACAUCGUCAGGAAGACAGAAAUCUCCAUCCAAGUGCUGGGAAUGCUUGGUUAUUCGUGGUAAACACAUUAAUAAAGGGAGUGUUAAAGGAGGUGACCUCAGUGCUGUGCUGAAAUGAGCAAAAGGGUGAGGUGAAACCACUGUAUUUGAUGAGAUUUAUGCUUUGUUGUGGGAUUUUGUUUGGGACCUUACAGAGCUACAGAUGAAACCUUUCUUUCUACCUCCUGACUUUCCUUCCUCACUUUCUCCACUGGGUUGAAUCAUGUCUCUUGCUAGUCACUUAUUCAUGAUGAGCAUUUCAUUCAGCUUCUGUUAUGGGGGUUUAGUGAGGCCUGUCCCCAAACUUUCAGCUCUUUCCAACAUCUUUGUUCUUUGUGAACAAGUGGAUUAAAUGCAUUUUGUCCCACUGUUCCUUUACACAGUAUGAAGCAACACUUAUAGCUUCAACAGAGAGCUAUGUCCCACCAGACCAUUCUAAAACUUUUAUCUACAGCCUAAUCAUCUUCACAGAGCACCCAGGAACUGGAAAAUGCUUGAGGUACAAAUGAAAACCUGGGUUCCGUGAGGUAACUCGUUUGUCAAAAUGCAAUGUAUUAUAUUUGCCCUCAGAUGAAUUCGUAUGUAUUCCGUAGACCGUCACAUUGCCAGGGAGGUUCUGGCAGUGCUGGUAGUAAAAAUCCUCUGUAUGGGUACAGACGUGGGAAAGAUCUGCCAGUGAUAAUCUGAUGUAGUUGAUUCAAUCAGAGCUCUACUGAAUUACUAUUCAGAUCUUACCAUCUCCCAAGAAUACUUUCCUCCAGUUUUAGUAGUGACAUUCUGUGGGAUGCAUGCAGCCCACCUGUUCAAAAAACAAAAAACAUCUGAAUUUCAGCCUUUGCAUUGUUCAGCACUCUAAUUUUGUGAAGCUGAGAGUCUUUCAGAGCAAAUAAAUCAAUGCUCUAGUAAAAGUGAAUUAUUACCAGUCAGACUAGUUAAUUAAAUGGUGUUCGUCAGGUGGAUAUGUCUGUUUAGGUGUCUCUGUGCUUAUAUAGAAAUUUCCAGACUUUCCUCAUAUGAUAAUAAGGAACUGGUGGCCUGAAGAGGAAAAAGCAUUUCUUGAAAUGUGUUCUUUUAUUUAAAAAAAAACCCUGCAAAUAUUAUAUGCUAAUCACUCAUAAUAUAGAUGUAAUUCAUUUUGAAUGCAUCUCUUGUGAAAUGCACUAGACAAGUCUAUUUUCAAUUAUUUAGUGAAUGAAAAGUUUAAUUAUCAAUAUGAAUUGUUUAUAACCAUGAUUCGUGACCUGAAAAAGGGUAUUUCAUGGUUAUUUAUGAAAGUCAUCAUCUUCAAUACUGUUUGCUGGUGCAUUGUAGAUCAGACUGGCAGCCUACUGAAUAUAGGCUGCAAUUUAACAAAACUUCAUAAUAUGUAUAUUGGCAGUAUAUCACAG
Anas platyrhynchos (mallard) is the source of this 3844-nucleotide non-coding RNA. The record is from RefSeq and is a predicted model, not a curated record. NCBI's taxonomy places the organism in Eukaryota, Metazoa, Chordata, Aves, Anseriformes, Anatidae.